Molecule: ribosomal RNA, 296 nt
Filed under: uncultured bacterium
Lineage: Bacteria
Description: partial 16S ribosomal RNA
Rfam family: Bacterial small subunit ribosomal RNA
Source: RNAcentral
GGUUCCUAGGGGGGCAGCAGUGAGGAAUAUUGGUCAAUGGGCUUACGCCUGAACCAGCCAAGUCGCGUGAGGGAAGACUGCCCUAUGGGUUGUAAACCUCUUUUGUCAGGGAGCAACGCCGGCUACGUGUAGCCGGACUGAGAGUACCUGAAGAAAAAGCAUCGGCUAACUCCGUGCCAGCAGCCGCGGUAAUACGGAGGAUGCGAGCGUUAUCCGGAUUUAUUGGGUUUAAAGGGGGCGUAGUCGGAAUGCCAAGUCAGCGGUAAAAUCGCGGGGCUCAACCUCGCUCCGCCUUU